UACAGAGACUGCAAGCGUUAUUCGGAUUCACUGGGCGUAAAGGGUGCGCAGGCGGCCAAGUGUGUGAGGCGUGAAAGCCCGGGGCUUAACCCCGGAAUUGCACCUCAAACUACAUGGCUAGAGCAUUGGAGAGGGUAGCAGAAUUCAUGGUGUAGCAGUGAAAUGCGUAGAUAUCAUGAGGAAUACCAGAGGCGAAGGCGGCCAGCUGGGCCGUCCCUGACGCUGAGGCGCGAAGGCGUGGGGAGCGAACGGG
RNAcentral lists this ribosomal RNA (253 nucleotides) under uncultured bacterium. RNAcentral's name for it is "partial 16S ribosomal RNA". It matches the Rfam family "Bacterial small subunit ribosomal RNA", at positions 524 to 776 of the family's 1533-position model. The record is from RNAcentral.